GACGAACGCUGGCGGCGUGCCUAAUACAUGCAAGUAGAACGCUGAAGAGAGGAGCUUGCUCUUCUUGGAUGAGUUGCGAACGGGUGAGUAACGCGUAGGUAACCUGCCUUGUAGCGGGGGAUAACUAUUGGAAACGAUAGCUAAUACCGCAUAACAAUGGAUGACACAUGUCAUUUAUUUGAAAGGGGCAAUUGCUCCACUACAAGAUGGACCUGCGUUGUAUUAGCUAGUAGGUGAGGUAAUGGCUCACCUAGGCGACGAUACAUAGCCGACCUGAGAGGGUGAUCGGCCACACUGGGACUGAGACACGCCCCAGACUCCCACGGGAAGCAGCAGUAGGGCAUCUUCGGCAAUGGGGGCGACCCUGACCGAGCAACGCCGCGUGAGUGAAGAAGGUUUUCGGAUCGUAAAGCUCUGUUGUAAGUCAAGAACGGGUGUGAGAGUGGAAAGUUCACACUAUGACGGUAGCUUACCAGAAAGGGACGGCUAACUACGUG
Molecule: ribosomal RNA, 497 nt
Filed under: uncultured bacterium
Lineage: Bacteria
Description: partial 16S ribosomal RNA
Rfam family: Bacterial small subunit ribosomal RNA
Source: RNAcentral